RNAcentral lists this ribosomal RNA (253 nucleotides) under uncultured bacterium. Its description in RNAcentral is "partial 16S ribosomal RNA". It matches the Rfam family "Bacterial small subunit ribosomal RNA", at positions 524 to 776 of the family's 1533-position model. The record is from RNAcentral.
UACGAAGGGGGCUAGCGUUGCUCGGAAUCACUGGGCGUAAAGGGUGCGUAGGCGGGUCUUUAAGUCAGGGGUGAAAUCCUGGAGCUCAACUCCAGAACUGCCUUUGAUACUGAAGAUCUUGAGUUCGGGAGAGGUGAGUGGAACUGCGAGUGUAGAGGUGAAAUUCGUAGAUAUUCGCAAGAACACCAGUGGCGAAGGCGGCUCACUGGGCAGUCACUGACGCUGAGGCGCGAAAGCUCGGGGAGCGAACGGG